UAAUACAUGAGUAACCUGCCCUAGACAGGGGGAUAACUAUUGGAAACGAUAGCUAAGACCGCAUAGGUACGGACACUGCAUGGUGACCGUAUUAAAAGUGCCUCAAAGCACUGGUAGAGGAUGGACUUAUGGCGCAUUAGCUGGUUGGCGGGGUAACGGCCCACCAAGGCGACGAUGCGUAGCCGACCUGAGAGGGUGACCGGCCACACUGGGACUGAGACACGGCCCAG
RNAcentral lists this ribosomal RNA (230 nucleotides) under uncultured bacterium. RNAcentral describes it as "partial 16S ribosomal RNA". It matches the Rfam family "Bacterial small subunit ribosomal RNA", at positions 111 to 334 of the family's 1533-position model. The record is from RNAcentral.